CCUGUCAUCGGUUCGAUUGUGAGCUAUCAGUUUCGUUUUUUUCUCUGAUGUGUGCGAGUGAUUGCUACGGCGGAUUGGCAACAUAAUUUUUAAAUUUGUGAAUUUUAUGUUACAACCACCCAAUGGAACAAUAAAUCUUUGUGCAAUAGAUUUGGUGUUGGACUGAAAUUGAUAAGAGGAAAAACAGCAUAUAAAAUCUAUGCCUAGUGUAUUUGCAGCUUAUGGGCGUGUGAACAGCCAACCUGCCUUCGUUUUUGUUAGUGCGUAUGUGUGUGUUUGCAUGGACUUUAAAGUUAAUGAAAAGCAGUAAAUUCAUUUGAAUGCAGUAAUUGCGGAUGUUUCGCAAUAUAAUUGAAAGUAAAAUCCAAAGUCGAUAAACAUUUGUUCUGUGGAAAAUAUAUGUAGUUAUCAAUUUUAAUACUAAUUCGACAAGCAAUUGCAUUUGGAAUUCAAGUGGGAGGGGAAGUAGUAUUCCGGGACAGCCGAUAGAAAAGUAGUGUAAAGAGGUAGAGCAGUAACCAGCGCAUAAGUACAUUUUUGAGUUCAAGGGUUGCCAAACUAAGAUAUUUCAAGUGUUCAAUUGUAAAGAGAUACAUAAAUGUAUUAUAAUAAUUGGCUUAUCAAAAAUAACCCUACAAAAAGUUAACUGUUACUUAAGUUCAGCAUAGAAAAUUCUUAACAUUUACAUACAUACUUACAUACAUAUGUACAUACUAUAUGUAUAUACAUAUUCGUUAAAUUAGCAAAAAUAAAAUAAAAACGGAUUAACAAUAAACGACGACGAAUACACAACGACAACGGCGGCAACUAACAUCUUGCAAGCGACCAAUAUCAAUUUCCGCUUACGUCGGUGAAAAACUAAUCAAUGAG
Molecule: long non-coding RNA, 870 nt
Organism: Rhagoletis zephyria (snowberry fruit fly)
Lineage: Eukaryota; Metazoa; Arthropoda; Insecta; Diptera; Tephritidae
Source: RefSeq, a predicted model, not a curated record